RNAcentral lists this ribosomal RNA (139 nucleotides) under uncultured bacterium. RNAcentral describes it as "partial 16S ribosomal RNA". It matches the Rfam family "Bacterial small subunit ribosomal RNA", at positions 355 to 513 of the family's 1533-position model. The record is from RNAcentral.
UAGGGAAUAUUGCUCAAUGGGGAACCCUGAAGCAGCAACGCCGCGUGGAGGAUGAAGGUUUUCGGAUUGUAAAACUCCUUUGUUAGAGAAGAUAAUGACGGUAUCUAACGAAUAAGCACCGGCUAACUCCGUGCCAGCA